GAUGAACGCUAGCGGGAGGCUUAAUACAUGCAAGUCGAACGGUAACAGGUCUUCGGAUGCUGACGAGUGGCGCACGGGUGAGUAACGCGUACGUAUCUACCUUGUACACGGGGACAUACACUGGAAACGGAGUAAAUACCCGAUAGUCUGGAAACAGUAAAGCUACGGCGGUACAAGAUGGGCGUGCGUCUGAUUAGCUAGAUGGUGAGGUAAUGGCUUACCAUGGCGAUGAUCAGUAGGGGGCGUGAGAGCGUGAUCCCCCACACGGGUACUGAGACACGGACCCGACUCCUACGGGAGGCAGCAGUAAGGAAUAUUGGACAAUGGGCGGAAGCCUGAUCCAGCCAUCCCGCGUGUAGGAUGACUGCCCUAUGGGUUGUAAACUACUUUUAUAUGAGAAGAAGCGCCUUUCUGCGGAAGGGUUUGACGGUAUCAUAUGAAUAAGCACCGGCUAACUCCG
This 460-nucleotide ribosomal RNA is filed under the name uncultured Saprospiraceae bacterium. Its description in RNAcentral is "bacterial SSU rRNA". It matches the Rfam family "Bacterial small subunit ribosomal RNA", at positions 28 to 505 of the family's 1533-position model. The record is from RNAcentral. Lineage: Bacteria; Pseudomonadati; Bacteroidota; Saprospiria; Saprospirales; Saprospiraceae.